GAACUUGCACCGAAUGCAGUGCAAUAAUUGACUCUCGCUCUUCGAGGGAUGUUACUUAGACCGAUAAAUGACACAUUGACAGAUUCCCGUGCACAUAACAUCAAAAGCAAUAGUUAGGUCAACUGGUUCACACUGUGAUGUCAUUCGGAAGAUGUUGUUCUCCAUGACAAUUAGUGAAUGCGCAGCACACAAACGAACGACCAGGAGCACAGUAAUAUAAGUGACACGACAGAGGCAACUACAUGAAGGACUUAUUUUUUUUCUAGAGCAACCAGAUUCGCUGAUCAGCAGCAUCAAUAUGCAAUAAAUGUGCCUCACUUUCGAACGUCUCAGUUCUAGAGGUCCUUUAUUCCUCACACCGUUGAACUGUGGAACAGCCUCCCAGAGGAUGUCGUGCAGCUGGAACUUCAGAAGUUCAAGAGA
Macrobrachium nipponense is the source of this 423-nucleotide long non-coding RNA. RefSeq lists it as uncharacterized. The record is from RefSeq and is a predicted model, not a curated record. The transcript has 3 exons. NCBI's taxonomy places the organism in Eukaryota, Metazoa, Arthropoda, Malacostraca, Decapoda, Palaemonidae.